UGAAUUCAUGCCCUGGUUAGCUGAAACAAAACAGUACAGAACACUCUGAUUCAAAGAUUUUUGGAGGAAGACACCUAGACUUCUUGAGGUCAUGGUUCAACAGAUAAACUCUGCAGAUGGGACUCCCAUCAGAAUCCAAAUGGUGUGUUAAAAAGUGAUGGAGAAAAAACAGCACUUGCCAGUUUUCCAGAAAACAAGAUGCCCUGGAGUAUGCUCUUCCUCCCUGGCUCCUUCCCUGUACCCAUCACAGCUCCUAGGCACCAUCUGUGGACUUCUACAGAGCUCACGAUCUAAAGCAAGCAGCAUGCCAAAGGCUGGUUAUUCAUUGCUGAAGUGAGUGUGAGGAAGGGAAUAGGACAGCAAGAGAGAACUGCUCACGGAGAGAGGCAGCAGAGAAGCAAAGAGUAACACAACUGGGAAGAGAGCGGAGGCUCUCUCUGCUGACAGGACUUUGCAGGGGCUGAGAGGAGACACAUUGCAACAGGCUGGCUGGGGUCACAGCGGUGCUGGGAGAUGGAGGGGUGCAAACGUGCAAACACAUACGCUCUCCAAUGACUUCAGUCUGUGCAAAGGAGCAUGUGCUGCUUCACAACGGGCUGGGACUGCUCUAGGCUCUGGGAAGACCAAAGGAAGGUUUAGCUACACAGGAGGGAUCCUCCAGCAUCUCUGCACAGAACAGAAGGAAGGUAGUCUCUGGGUGACAGCAGGAAGCAGGGAGGAAGGGAUUCCUGAACAUCAGUUUCCCCUUUGACACUGAUUUCCAAUGAAGCAUUUUGUCUUGUAAGUCUGUUUCUCCCUCUGAUUUUGUCUUCCCUUUUAGAAAAUUGUGCAAAUAAAGCUGAGCUGCCUCAUAGCUGGUGGAUGUCUGUACUACGCUAAACAGCUC
Melopsittacus undulatus (budgerigar) is the source of this 886-nucleotide long non-coding RNA. RefSeq lists it as uncharacterized. NCBI's taxonomy places the organism in Eukaryota, Metazoa, Chordata, Aves, Psittaciformes, Psittaculidae. The record is from RefSeq and is a predicted model, not a curated record. The transcript has 3 exons.